GCUUUAUCGCAGCCUGUAAUUGAGUUUGAACUUUUCUUGCGCAGUCUAGGUGGGAGGCAAAGAGACUUUCUUCCCGGAGAAAGAGGAGCCAACAGUGAGAGACCACUCUGGAAAAAUUCGAACUCUAAAAGUAUAUGACCGUCAACCGGUUACUUGACAGUUUCAGGUGUGUGGUUUCUAUGGGGCAUAGUUUUUUAAAAAGGUAACAAAAAAGCACAAAGGUUCCCUCAGGCUGGAUGGAAAUCAGUCAAAGAGUGUAAAGGCAUAAGGGAGCUUGACUGCAAGAAGGACAAUUCGAGCAGGGGUGAAAACCGGUCUUAGUGAUCCGACGAUGCUGAGUGGAAAGGUCGUCGCCAACGGAUAAAAGUUACUCUAGGGAAA
This 381-nucleotide ribosomal RNA is filed under the name uncultured organism. Its description in RNAcentral is "bacterial LSU rRNA". It matches the Rfam family "Bacterial large subunit ribosomal RNA", at positions 2098 to 2476 of the family's 2925-position model. The record is from RNAcentral.